GGCCGCCUAGCUCAGUUGGUUAGAGCGUGGUGCUAAUAUGUAAGCAUGCUUACGUAAUAACGCCAAGGUCGUCAGUUCGAUCCUGGCGGUGGCCA
Non-coding RNA from Irpex rosettiformis, 95 nucleotides. The record is from the annotation of a GenBank genome assembly. Lineage: Eukaryota; Fungi; Basidiomycota; Agaricomycetes; Polyporales; Irpicaceae.